Molecule: ribosomal RNA, 1490 nt
Filed under: human gut metagenome
Description: bacterial LSU rRNA
Rfam family: Bacterial large subunit ribosomal RNA
Source: RNAcentral
CUAAAUACUACCCAGUGACCGAUAGCGUAUAGUACUGUGAAGGAAAGGUGAAAAGCACCCCGGGAGGGGAGUGAAAAAGAACCUGAAACCCUGUGCCUACAAGCACCUAGAGCACGUCAAUGUGUGAUAGGGUACUUUUUGUAGAACGGUCCGGCGAGCGAUUGUAUGCAGCAAGGUUAAGGACUUAAGGUCUGGAGCCGAAGCGAAAGCGAGUUUGAAAAGGGCGUUAAGUUGCAUAUAAUGGGCCCGAAACCGGGUGACCUACCCAUGGUCAGGUUGAAGUGGAAGUAAAAUUCCAUGGAGGACCGAACCGACCUCCGUUGAAAAGGCGGCGGAUGAACUGUGGGUAGCGGAGAAAUUCCAAUCGAACCCGGAGAUAGCUGGUUCUCCCCGAAAUAGUUUUAGGACUAGCCUCAAGUUAGAUACCUGGAGGUAAAGCACUGAAUAGCCUAGCGGCCGAGAGGUUAGCGAAGCUUAUCAAACUCAGAAUGCCAGAGUAUUGAUGCUUGGGAGUCAGACAGUGUCAGAUAAAUGUCAUUGUCAAAAGGGAAACAGCCCAGAUCUACAGCUAAGGUCCCAAAGUCAGGUUAAGUGGAAAACGAUGUGAAGAUACGCAGACAACCAGGAUGUUGGCUCAGAAGCAGCCACUCAUUCAAAGAGUGCGUAAUAGCUCACUGGUCGAGCGUCUUUGCGCGGAGAAUUUAACGGGGCUAAACCUGACACCGAAGCUUAGGCAAUCCAGUAAUGGAUUGGGUAGGGGAGCGUUGUAUACGCGGAGAAACAGUAGCGUAAGCGGCUGUGGAGUGUAUAGAAGUGAGAAUGCCGGAAUGAGUAGCGCGAAUGCAGUGAGAAUCUGCAUGGCCGAAAGCCUCAGGUUUUUGGAGGAAGGUUCGUCCGCUCCAAGUUAGUCGGGAGCUAAGGUGAGGCCGGAAGGCGUAGCCGAUGCACAGACGGUAGAGAUUCCGUCACCACCAAAAGAGUUAAGCACAGGGACACAUUUGAAGUCUCAGAGCCGGGUGUUGGUUCCGGUAGAGAUCGAGGGAAGUUAGUACCGAAGUCUGGGAUGGAAGAUGGCGAGAAAAGCUGUGUGUAUUUCUGAGGUGCCCGUACCGCAAACCGACACAGGUAGGUAGGAAGAAGAUUCUAAGGCCAACGGGAGAAGGGUUGUUAAGGAACUCGGCAAAUUGACCCCGUAACUUCGGGAGAAGGGGUGCUCCAGAGAUGGAGCCGCAGAGAAUCGGCCCAAGCAACUGUUUACCAAAAACACAGGUUUGUGCUAAAUCGAAAGAUGACGUAUACGAGCUGACGCCUGCCCGGUGCUGGAAGGUUAAGAGGAGAUGUGCAAGCAUUGAAUCGAAGCCCCAGUGAACGGCGGCCGUAACUAUAACGGUCCUAAGGUAGCGAAAUUCCUUGUCAGGUAAGUUCUGACCCGCAUGAAAGGCGUAAUGAUUUGGGCACUGUCUCAACAGCCCGCCCGGCGAAAUUGUAGU